Molecule: ribosomal RNA, 468 nt
Filed under: uncultured bacterium
Lineage: Bacteria
Description: partial 16S ribosomal RNA
Rfam family: Bacterial small subunit ribosomal RNA
Source: RNAcentral
GACGAACGCUGGCGGCGUGCUUAACACAUGCAAGUCGAACGGAAAGGCCCUGCUUUUGUGGGGUGCUCGAGUGGCGAACGGGUGAGUAACACGUGAGUAACCUGCCCUUGACUUUGGGAUAACUUCAGGAAACUGGGGCUAAUACCGGAUAGGAGCUCCUGCGGCAUGGUGGGGGUUGGAAAGGUUCGGCGGUUGGGGAUGGACUCGCGGCUUAUGAGCUUGUUGGUGGUGUAGUGGCUUACCAAGGCUUUGACGGGUAUCCGGCCUGAGAGGGUGACCGGAAACAUGAGGACGGAGAUAAGGCCUGGAUGGCUACGGGAGGCAGCAGUGGGGAAUAUAGCAUAAUGGGGGGAAGCCUGAUGUAGAAAAGCCGCGUGCGGGAAGAUGGCCUGCGGGGUGGAAACAGCUUUCGUCUGAGACGAAGCGUGAGUGACGGUAAUGGGUUAAGAAGCAACGGCUAACUACGUG